ACUCCCAAACCCCUGUGAACAUACCUUAAUGUUGCCUCGGCGGAUCAGCCCGCGCCCCGUAAAACGGGACGGCCCGCCAGAGGACCCAAACUCUAAUGUUUCUUAUUGUAACUUCUGAGUAAAACAAACAAAUAAAUCAAAACUUUCAACAACGGAUCUCUUGGUUCUGGCAUCGAUGAAGAACGCAGCAAAAUGCGAUAAGUAAUGUGAAUUGCAGAAUUCAGUGAAUCAUCGAAUCUUUGAACGCACAUUGCGCCCGCUGGUAUUCCGGCGGGCAUGCCUGUUCGAGCGUCAUUUCAACCCUCAAGCCCUCGGGUUUGGUGUUGGGGAUCGGCUCUGCCUUCUGGCGGUGCCGCCCCCGAAAUACAUUGGCGGUCUCGCUGCAGCCUCCAUUGCGUAGUAGCUAACACCUCGCAACUGGAACGCGGCGCGGCCAUGCCGUAAAACCCCAACUUCUGAAUGUUGACCUCGGAUCAGGUAGGAAUACCCGCUGAACUUAAGCAUAUCAAUAAGCGGAGGAAAAGAAACCAACAGGGAUUGCCCUAGUAACGGCGAGUGAAGCGGCAACAGCUCAAAUUUGAAAUCUGGCUUUCGGGCCCGAGUUGUAAUUUGUAGAGGAUACUUUUGAUGCGGUGCCUUCCGAGUUCCCUGGAACGGGACGCCAUAGAGGGUGAGAGCCCCGUCUGGUUGGAUGCCAAAUCUCUGUAAAGUUCCUUCGACGAGUCGAGUAGUUUGGGAAUGCUGCUCUAAAUGGGAGGUAUAUGUCUUCUAAAGCUAAAUAUUGGCCAGAGACCGAUAGCGCACAAGUAGAGUGAUCGAAAGAUGAAAAGCACUUUGAAAAGAGAGUUAAAAAGUACGUGAAAUUGUUGAAAGGGAAGCGUUUAUGACCAGACUUGGACUUGGUUAAUCAUCUGGGGUUCUCCCCAGUGCACUUUUCCAGUUCAGGCCAGCAUCAGUUUUCGCCGGGGGAUAAAGACUUCGGGAAUGUAGCUCUCUUCGGGGAGUGUUAUAGCCCGUUGUGUAAUACCCUGGCGGAGACUGAGGUUCGCGC
RNAcentral lists this ribosomal RNA (1051 nucleotides) under Fusarium tricinctum. RNAcentral's name for it is "eukaryotic LSU rRNA". The stretch from base 464 to 1051 matches the Rfam family "Eukaryotic large subunit ribosomal RNA", at positions 1 to 600 of the family's 3401-position model. Lineage: Eukaryota; Fungi; Ascomycota; Sordariomycetes; Hypocreales; Nectriaceae. The record is from RNAcentral.